This 638-nucleotide long non-coding RNA is filed under the name Monodelphis domestica (gray short-tailed opossum). RNAcentral's name for it is "lncRNA (ENSMODG00000049904.1)". The record is from RNAcentral. Lineage: Eukaryota; Metazoa; Chordata; Mammalia; Didelphimorphia; Didelphidae.
UGGGCAGCUCUGGAGUAGGCUCAGGAUACGUGGGGAAAGAAUGUUCUGGACUUGAGAAUUUCAGGCUUGUUGCUUGAAGUGAGACAAGGGAUAAGGAAGGGAUAUCUCUUCUGGAAUCUCCUCAUCAAAGAAGGUGGGAGCUGGAAGGUACAGGUGGGUGCUCUGCCUGGCUACCUACUACUUACAGGACCUUGAAGCCAUCGAAAUCCAGUGGCAAGUUAAAAGUCAGGAGAACUGUAAUGGCACCUUUGACGAUGUCUGCUCUACACACUCCACAAUGCCUGCUUCAGCCCCUUCACGGCCAUUGUAAUAAAUUGUUCUCAUCGGCUCGUUUCAACAGGGGAGAUCUUUGCAUGCUUGGGAAGGACAGCCCCCUCACUCAUGGACAGGUUUAAGGUGAGAGUUGGCUGAGAGGUGGACACGAAAGGUGGAUGAGCAGCCCUGAAUUUGGAAGAGAGAAGGGUUUGAAAGUGAAGAUAAUGAUCUCAAUUUUGGACACAUUCAGCUUAAGAUGUCCCAGUAUUCAAUGCGAAGUCUACUGCCACCCACAAAGAAGAUGAAAAGGUCAAAUCUAAUGGUUAACACUGAUGGUUCAUGCUCAUAAUUACAUUUAAAGUUUUCCUCACAACAAUCCUAUA